GACGAACGGCUGGGCGGCGUGGAUUAGGCAUGCAAGUCGGACGGUAGGGCUUUAUCGUAAGAUAGAGUUUGAGAGUGGCGAACGGGUGAGUAACACGUAGGAAUCUACCCUUAAGACGGGACAACCCAGGGAAACUUGGGCUAAUACCGGAUGAGAGUACGAGAGAUUGCAUUUAAAAGGAUGGCGAAAGUUGUCGCUUAGGGAUGAGCCUGCGGUCUAUUAGUUAGUUGGUGAGGUAAGAGCUCACCAAGGCGAUGAUAGAUAGGCGGCCUUAACGGGUGGUCGCCCACACUGGGAUUGAGAUACGGCCCAGACUCCUACGGGAGGCAGCAGUCGAGAAUAGUCUACAAUGGCCGGAAGGCUGAUAGUGCGACGCCGCGUGAACGAGGGAGCCCUUCGGGGUGUAAAGUUCUUUUCUAUACGAGCAGUGCUAUAUAUAUGGAUAGUAUAUAUAGAGGGAUAGUAGUAUAGGAAUAAGCAACGGCUAACUCCGUG
RNAcentral lists this ribosomal RNA (495 nucleotides) under uncultured bacterium. RNAcentral's name for it is "bacterial SSU rRNA". It matches the Rfam family "Bacterial small subunit ribosomal RNA", at positions 38 to 507 of the family's 1533-position model. The record is from RNAcentral.